GCCCGGGUGGCGGAAUUGGUAUACGCAGGAGACUUAAAAUCUCCCGGUCGCAAGACCUUGUGGGAUCGUUGCCCACCCCGGGCA
This 84-nucleotide transfer RNA is filed under the name Candidatus Parcubacteria bacterium. Its description in RNAcentral is "tRNA-Leu". Lineage: Bacteria; Candidatus Parcubacteria. The record is from RNAcentral.